UGAGUGAAUUUCACACACACGUGCUAUAAAGCGCGUCUCCGAGGCGCGCACCUUCCCUUAGCAAUGGCUGGACGAAGCAAGCGGGAAAGACGCACGUUUCUUUGUGUGCCUGCGAAAAGCACCAAUUUCCACGCGAUUUCCCAGGAGAACCAGGUAGCGUACGCAUGGUGGAACGGUGGCAUUUAGCAGACGCUCUUAUCCAGGGCGACAUACAAUGAAGUGCAGAUCGAACACAGGGACAAGUGAGAAGAGGACAAUAUAUUAAAG
This is a long non-coding RNA of Conger conger (European conger), 267 nucleotides long. RefSeq lists it as uncharacterized. The record is from RefSeq and is a predicted model, not a curated record. Lineage: Eukaryota; Metazoa; Chordata; Actinopteri; Anguilliformes; Congridae. The transcript is spliced from 3 exons.